UUAUCUCUGUAGAGUCUGCAUAUCAAUAAGCGGAGGAAAAGAAACUAACAAGGAUUCCCCUAGUAACGGCGAGUGAAGCGGGAAGAGCUCAAAUUUGAAAUCUUAAAGGGUUUCCCUUUACGAAUUGUAGUUUAAAGAAGUGUUCUCUGUUGAAGUUUUGGUAAAAGUUCUUUGGAAUAGGACAUCAUAGAGGGUGAGAAUCCCGUAUUUGACCGUUACUUUCCAGCUGUGUGAUACACUUUCAAAGAGUCGGAUUGUUUGGGAAUGCAGUCCAAAAUGGGUGGUAAAUUUCAUCUAAAGCUAAAUAUUGGCGAGAGACCGAUAGCGAACAAGUACCGUGAGGGAAAGAUGAAAAGAACUUUGAAAAGAGAGUUAAACAGUACGUGAAAUUGUCAAAAGGGAAGCGUUUGACACCAGUGUUGUUUUCUCGAAAAUCAAUUAAAAAUGGCUGGGAUUUUGUGUUGUAUUGACUUUAUCAGCUUUCUGCACUUUUUUCCUAUCUUUUUUAAUGCACUUUUCGUUUAACAAGUCAACAUCAAGUUUCUUUUGUUGUAAAAGGGUCAUUGGAAGGUGGCUUUCUUUUCGGAGAAAGUGUUUAUAGCCUUUGAUCUCUGCAAUCGGAGAGAUUGAGGUCUGCAGCGUAGAUCCUUCGGGGUUAGAUACAUUUGUGCUAAGUUAUAGCUUUUUAUAGACAACUUGUUGACUAUAUUUAGUCUUGUGGCUUACUCGCUUAUGCUAUUUUACCUACGCUUAGGAUGUUGA
RNAcentral lists this ribosomal RNA (762 nucleotides) under uncultured Neocallimastigales. Its description in RNAcentral is "partial large subunit ribosomal RNA". It matches the Rfam family "Eukaryotic large subunit ribosomal RNA", at positions 24 to 629 of the family's 3401-position model. Lineage: Eukaryota; Fungi; Neocallimastigomycota; Neocallimastigomycetes; Neocallimastigales. The record is from RNAcentral.